GCCCGGGUGGCGGAAUUGGUAGACGCACUAGUUUCAGGGACUAGCGAGAGCAAUCUUGUGCAGGUUCGAGUCCUGUUCCG
Molecule: transfer RNA, 80 nt
Filed under: Rikenellaceae bacterium
Lineage: Bacteria; Pseudomonadati; Bacteroidota; Bacteroidia; Bacteroidales; Rikenellaceae
Description: tRNA-Leu
Rfam family: tRNA
About the family: Transfer RNA (tRNA) molecules are approximately 80 nucleotides in length. Their secondary structure includes four short double-helical elements and three loops (D, anti-codon, and T loops).
Source: RNAcentral